This is a long non-coding RNA of Zonotrichia leucophrys gambelii, 390 nucleotides long. RefSeq lists it as uncharacterized. The transcript is spliced from 3 exons. NCBI's taxonomy places the organism in Eukaryota, Metazoa, Chordata, Aves, Passeriformes, Passerellidae. The record is from RefSeq and is a predicted model, not a curated record.
GAGCCCCCGCCCGCUGCCAUGGCCGCGAUCAAGCACCGGCGGACGGCCCUGGAGCGGGUGGAGAAGUUCCUGUCCGACACCUACUUCACCGACUGCAACCUGCGGGGCAGGCUUUUUGGGGAUCGCUGUCCCCCGGCAUCGCUGUCCUGCUUCCAGACUCGGCGGCGCAUCCCGUACCAGGAGGCUGUGGCGCAGCAAUUCGGGCCGGCGCAAGUGGGAGAGUCCUUCGGGCCCACGCUGCUUAUACCUCAGUUGUUUAACCCCCAAGUGCACAUGCUGCCUCUGCUGUUUCCUCAUGCCAGCCUUAGAAAAGGGGUUGGAUUACACCUCCCUCUUCACCCCUCCCACCCCAAAACCAGCAUGCUGCAACAGUGCCUCAGACCAGGAACA